Macaca mulatta (Rhesus monkey) is the source of this 148-nucleotide unclassified non-coding RNA. It matches the Rfam family "Metazoan signal recognition particle RNA". From Rfam's summary of the family: The signal recognition particle (SRP) is a universally conserved ribonucleoprotein. It is involved in the co-translational targeting of proteins to membranes. The eukaryotic SRP consists of a 300-nucleotide 7S RNA and six proteins: SRPs 72, 68, 54, 19, 14, and 9. The record is from Ensembl. Lineage: Eukaryota; Metazoa; Chordata; Mammalia; Primates; Cercopithecidae.
GCUAGACAUGGUGGAGCACGCCUGUAGUCCCAGCUACUUGGGAGGCUGAGGCAGGAUGAUUACUUGAGCCCAGGAAGCUGAAACUGCAGUGAGCCAUUAUCACCCCACUGCACUCCAGCCUGGGCAACAAAGUGAGACCCUGUCUCAA